GGCCCGCUAGCUCAAUUGGCAGAGNNAGAGCAGCUGACUCUUAAUCAGCGGGUUCGGGGUUCGAGUCCCUGGCGGGUCA
RNAcentral lists this transfer RNA (79 nucleotides) under Caldilineaceae bacterium. Its description in RNAcentral is "tRNA-Lys". It matches the Rfam family "tRNA". Rfam says of the family: Transfer RNA (tRNA) molecules are approximately 80 nucleotides in length. Their secondary structure includes four short double-helical elements and three loops (D, anti-codon, and T loops). The record is from RNAcentral. Lineage: Bacteria; Bacillati; Chloroflexota; Caldilineae; Caldilineales; Caldilineaceae.